CACAUUCUUUUUUAACAUUUUCAGGGUAUUUCCUGGAAAUUUGAACUCUAUCGUGGGGGUCAGAAGUUAAUUAUUCCUAUUUUGCUGACAAGGCAUCUGAACCCGGUGUUUGCUACUGGAGCAUUUGUUGUUCCUGCAUCUCUUUACUUCACUCUAAAGAAACUUUUUUUUAAACCUUAUUUUCUUAGAAGGAAUAAGCAGAAGGCUCGGGAGGAGGAGGAGAAAACUUCUGCUCAGGUA
Non-coding RNA from Cajanus cajan (pigeon pea), 240 nucleotides. NCBI's taxonomy places the organism in Eukaryota, Viridiplantae, Streptophyta, Magnoliopsida, Fabales, Fabaceae. The record is from RefSeq and is a predicted model, not a curated record.